RNAcentral lists this transfer RNA (71 nucleotides) under Chelonia mydas (Green sea turtle). It matches the Rfam family "tRNA". Rfam says of the family: Transfer RNA (tRNA) molecules are approximately 80 nucleotides in length. Their secondary structure includes four short double-helical elements and three loops (D, anti-codon, and T loops). Lineage: Eukaryota; Metazoa; Chordata; Testudines; Cheloniidae. The record is from Rfam by way of RNAcentral.
GCACUGGUGGUUCAGUAGUAGAAUUCUUGCCUCCCAUGUGGGAGGCUUGGAUUUGAUUCCCGGCCAAUGCA